RNAcentral lists this ribosomal RNA (664 nucleotides) under Aquimarina sp. RNAcentral's name for it is "bacterial SSU rRNA". It matches the Rfam family "Bacterial small subunit ribosomal RNA", at positions 653 to 1323 of the family's 1533-position model. The record is from RNAcentral. Lineage: Bacteria; Pseudomonadati; Bacteroidota; Flavobacteriia; Flavobacteriales; Flavobacteriaceae.
UGAAGUGGUUAGAAUGUGUAGUGUAGCGGUGAAAUGCAUAGAUAUUACACAGAAUACCGAUUGCGAAGGCAGAUCACUAACAAUUGAUUGACGCUCAGGGACGAAAGCGUGGGUAGCGAACAGGAUUAGAUACCCUGGUAGUCCACGCCGUAAACGAUGGUUACUAGCUGUUUGGACUUCGGUCUGAGUGGCUAAGCGAAAGUGAUAAGUAACCCACCUGGGGAGUACGUUCGCAAGAAUGAAACUCAAAGGAAUUGACGGGGGCCCGCACAAGCGGUGGAGCAUGUGGUUUAAUUCGAUGAUACGCGAGGAACCUUACCAGGGCUUAAAUGUAGUCUGACAGCUUUAGAGAUAGAGUUUUCUUCGGACAGAUUACAAGGUGCUGCAUGGUUGUCGUCAGCUCGUGCCGUGAGGUGUCAGGUUAAGUCCUAUAACGAGCGCAACCCCUGUUGUUAGUUGCCAGCGAGUAAUGUCGGGAACUCUAGCAAGACUGCCGGUGCAAACCGCGAGGAAGGUGGGGAUGACGUCAAAUCAUCACGGCCCUUACGUCCUGGGCCACACACGUGCUACAAUGGCCGGUACAGAGAGCAGCCACUUAGUGAUAAGGAGCGAAUCUAUAAAGCCGGUCACAGUUCGGAUCGGAGUCUGCAACUCGACUCCGGAA